UACGUAGGUGUCGAGCGUUGUCCGGAUUUAUUGGGCGUAAAGAGCCCGCAGGCGGCUUGGCAAGUUUGAGGUGAAAUCUCCCGGCUUAACUGGGAGGGGGCCUCGAAAACUGCCAGGCUUGAGGCAUGGAGAGGGAUGCGGAAUUCCCGGUGUAGUGGUGAAAUGCGUAGAUAUCGGGAGGAACACCAGUGGCGAAGGCGGCAUCCUGGCCAUGUCCUGACGCUCAGGGGCGAAAGCGUGGGGAGCGAACAGG
Molecule: ribosomal RNA, 253 nt
Filed under: uncultured bacterium
Lineage: Bacteria
Description: partial 16S ribosomal RNA
Rfam family: Bacterial small subunit ribosomal RNA
Source: RNAcentral